RNAcentral lists this ribosomal RNA (496 nucleotides) under uncultured bacterium. RNAcentral's name for it is "partial 16S ribosomal RNA". It matches the Rfam family "Bacterial small subunit ribosomal RNA", at positions 28 to 506 of the family's 1533-position model. The record is from RNAcentral.
GAUGAACGCUGGCGGCGUGCCUAAUACAUGCAAGUCGAGCGAACAGACGAGGAGCUUGCUCCUCUGACGUUAGCGGCGGACGGGUGAGUAACACGUGGAUAACCUACCUAUAAGACUGGGAUAACUUCGGGAAACCGGAGCUAAUACCGGAUAAUAUAUUGAACCGCAUGGUUCAAUAGUGAAAGACGGUUUUGCUGUCACUUAUAGAUGGAUCCGCGCCGCAUUAGCUAGUUGGUAAGGUAACGGCUUACCAAGGCAACGAUGCGUAGCCGACCUGAGAGGGGAGUGCGCCCACCUGGAACGGGAACCGGGGCCAGCCCCGUCGGGGGGGCAGCGGUGGGGAAUUUUCCGCAAGGGGGGAAAGCCUGACGGGGCACCGCCGGGUGGGUGAGAAAGGUUUUGGGACUGUAAAACUUUGUUAUUAGGAAAAAAAAAAUGUGUAAUAAACUAUCGACGUUUUGACGGUACCUAAGCAAAAGGCCACGGCUAACUACGU